Esox lucius (northern pike) is the source of this 2364-nucleotide long non-coding RNA. The record is from Ensembl. Lineage: Eukaryota; Metazoa; Chordata; Actinopteri; Esociformes; Esocidae.
CGUGGAUAUAAGCAAUUCUCACAAACCCCAGAGAUUUCUUUUCACUCUUAUAAACCAAUUACCAAUUUAGUUAGACCUGGGUGUCUCUGUCCAUGUCUGGCUGACCUUGGCAGUAUAUGUUUGUAGAACUGGUCAGCUUAAUAAACCUCUGCAUCAUGCCUGCUCCAGAUGUGGCUGAUAUUGCUACAGUUGUUCUGUCCCUUGAGAGUUGAUAUUGUGAUUUUUACCAUUUUGCAUGUUUGUAAAUUACCUGUUUUGUAUACGCAUUUCUGUGUUUCUCAAUGUAAUUUCUCAUCUGAAAAUUGGAUUGGAGUGCAAUGAUUCCUUGAAUGUAUUAUAAUUUACAAGCUAAUUUGAGUGCAAGGUUCAGAACGCAUUUUGUUAAUAUUUAAGCAAUGUUGCAUUUUGGAAUGCCGUAUUGAAAAUGUACAAGGAUUAAUUGAAUCUCCUAAACAGAUUUUCGAGUUGAGCACAAUCGUAUAGCCUACAAAAGAUAUCUGAGGUGGAUGACAGAAUAAUUAUUUCCCAGUUCAAUAAAAACCCCUUCUUGGCCAGAUCAGUAAACCCUCAGCGACUUAAAAGAAAGAUGGGAAGGGAGGAGUAAUGAGAAGGUGAGCAUCUGCUUAUGAGCCAAAGCAUACCACCUCUUCUGUGAAGCAUGGUGGAUGAAGUGUUGUGGCACCUGUUCUGUGAAGUGUGGUGGAGGAAGUGUUAUGGCACCUGUUCUGUGAAGCAUGGUGGAGGAAGUGUUAUGGCACCUGUUCUGUGAAGUGUGGUGGAGGAAGUGUUGUGGCACCUGUUCUGUGAAGUGUGGUGGAGGAAGUGUUAUGGCACCUGUUCUGUUAAUCAUGGUGGAGGAAGUGUUGUGGAACGUUCAAAAGUUCGAAUUUACAGUUCUCUAUAUAGGAGCAGUAGAAAAGGGUAUGUUAUUCUUAGAGGAAUUAGAUAACAAGUGCAGUAUGCAAUGAACAAACAAAAGUUGUAAGAUAACAAGUGCAAUAUGCAAUGAACAACCAAAAGUUGUAAUCUGCUAAAGCCAAGGAAAUUCACUCACGGCGACGUUAAGCCAAAAAUUCACUCACGGCGACGUACAGCAUAAAAGAUUCACUCACGGCGACGUUAAAUGGGAGCAAGUUGGCGGUAGGUCGCUUAUCUACAUCUCCGUGGCAGAAUCCACCCCCCAUAAUCUACAUCUCCGUGGCAGAAUCCACCCCCCAUAAAUAAAGUCCCUUUUCACCUGCCAUAGUACAAUAUGUUGUCCAAAAUGCAUUAUGUUACACAGGUAAAGUUGUUGUAGUUUUUCCUCACUCCCUCUUCUGUAAUAAAGCAUGUACUGGAGCUGGAGGCCAGGGAACCGCUGCACACAUUCAUAUACCUUGAUGAGGCGGGUUUCAAUUUGGCAAAAGGUAGAAGACGUGGUAAGGAAUCGGAUUGGACAGAGAGCAACCAUUGAUGUCCCAGGCCAACGAGGAGGGAAUAUUACUAUGUGUGCCCCCAUCUCAGAAAACGGCAUCCUCACCCAUAUCCCCUGUCUUGGUCCAUACAACACACAACAUCUGCUGACUUUUUUAGACACUCUUUACAGGGACAUAAUCCCUGAGAAUGAGAGAGGUCUAACAGGAUACCAUCUGAACAAGCAUGUUGUUGUUUUGGAUAAUGUGCGUUUUCACCACACAGAUGUUGCCAGACUGUGGUUUGCAGCACAUAAUAGGAUUCUGGUGGAAUAUCUCCCUCCCUACUCACCAUUCCUGAAUCCAACAGAGGAGUUGUUCUCUUCCUGGAGGUGGAAGACCACAUGACCUUCUCCCAUUCCUCCUCUGGAUCAUCCAGAUGGUCAUUGGCAAACUUCAGACAUGCCUGGACAUGCAGUGGCUUGAACAGGGGGAUUUAACAGUUUUUUCUGAUGGCUGUAGAUGUAGUGAUUGUAUGAGUUAGUGAACUGUUAUAAGCUGUUGUAACCAAUGAAUCAAAAUAUUAAAUGUUUGUAAUAUGAGCUGAAACUGAAGGAGCAAGUAGGAGAAUAGGAAACCCUGUUUAAGCAGUUGCCGGCGAGAGAAAGAUUUAGUAUGUCUGUCUUUUAAGAAACAGGACACAGGUUAGAGACACACACACAUAGUCUGACAGGCCAGACAGAAACCAGGAGGGGACAAGAAGAUGUUUGCGUUUAUCCUUAUAAGGAAUAGAACUGGAACUGGACCAAUAGCACACUUGUUUUGUGAAUUUAACGACUCUAUCUUUUGGGCGUAGUAGAAGUAUAAAAUGAUCUGUUGAAUGUUGAUCCUUAGACAUUGUGCGGCGACACUUGUCUCCAAAAGCUUUUGUAAUAAACGGAAUAUGCGGUAUGAUAAUUGACCUGACUCCUGG